This 780-nucleotide ribosomal RNA is filed under the name uncultured cyanobacterium. RNAcentral's name for it is "bacterial SSU rRNA". It matches the Rfam family "Bacterial small subunit ribosomal RNA", at positions 46 to 868 of the family's 1533-position model. The record is from RNAcentral. Lineage: Bacteria; Bacillati; Cyanobacteriota.
GCCUAACACAUGCAAGUCGAACGGGAAUCUUCGGAUUCUAGUGGCGGACGGGUGAGUAACGCGUAAGAAUCUAACUUCAGGACGGGGACAACAGUUGGAAACGACUGCUAAUACCCGAUGUGCCGAAAGGUGAAACCUAAUUGGCCUGAAGAAGAGCUUGCGUCUGAUUAGCUAGUUGGUGGGGUAAAGGCCUACCAAGGCGACGAUCAGUAGCUGGUCUGAGAGGAUGAGCAGCCACACUGGGACUGAGACACGGCCCAGACUCCUACGGGAGGCAGCAGUGGGGAAUUUUCCGCAAUGGGCGAAAGCCUGACGGAGCAACGCCGCGUGAGGGAGGAAGGUCUUUGGAUUGUAAACCUCUUUUCUCAAGGAAGAAGUUCUGACGGUACUUGAGGAAUCAGCCUCGGCUAACUCCGUGCCAGCAGCCGCGGUAAUACGGGGGAGGCAAGCGUUAUCCGGAAUUAUUGGGCGUAAAGCGUCCGCAGGUGGUCAGCCAAGUCUGCCGUCAAAUCAGGUUGCUUAACGACCUAAAGGCGGUGGAAACUGGCAGACUAGAGAGCAGUAGGGGUAGCAGGAAUUCCCAGUGUAGCGGUGAAAUGCGUAGAGAUUGGGAAGAACAUCGGUGGCGAAAGCGUGCUACUGGGCUGUAUCUGACACUCAGGGACGAAAGCUAGGGGAGCGAAAGGGAUUAGAUACCCCUGUAGUCCUAGCCGUAAACGAUGGAUACUAGGCGUGGCUUGUAUCGACCCGAGCCGUGCCGAAGCUAACGCGUUAAGUAUC